AUACCGGCGGCUCGAGUGGUGGCCACUAUUACUGGGCUUAAAGCGUUCGUAGCUGGUCUGUUAAGUCUCUGGGGAAAUCUACUGGCUUAACCAAUAGGCGUCUCAGGGAUACUGGCAGACUAGGGACCGGGAGAGGUGAGAGGUACUCCAGGGGUAGGAGUGAAAUCCUGUAAUCCUUGGGGGACCACCUGUGGCGAAGGCGUCUCACCAGAACGGCUCCGACAGUGAGGGACGAAAGCUGGGGGAGCAAACCGGAUUAGAUACCCGGGUAGUCCCAGCCGUAAACGAUGCGCGUUAGGUGUAUCGGUGACCACGAGUCACCGAGGUGCCGAAGAGAAAUCGUGAAACGUGCCGCCUGGGAAGUACGGUCGCAAGGCUGAA
Molecule: ribosomal RNA, 381 nt
Filed under: uncultured archaeon
Lineage: Archaea
Description: bacterial SSU rRNA
Rfam family: Archaeal small subunit ribosomal RNA
Source: RNAcentral